CCUACGGGAGGCAGCAGUGAGGAAUAUUGGGCAAUGGGUGAAAGCCUGACCCAGCAACGCCGCGUGGAGGAUGAAGGCCCUAUGGGUUGUAAACUCCUGUGAGAGGGGAAGAAUGUCCCGCUUCAGGCGGGAUUGACGGUACCCUCAGAGGAAGGUCCGGCCAACUACGUGCCAGCAGCCGCGGUAAUACGUAGGGACCGAGCGUUGUCCGGAAUCAUUGGGUGUAAAGGGUCCGCAGGCGGAUGUGUAAGUCGGAGGUGAAAUCUUCCCGCUCAACGGGAAAACUGCUUUCGAUACUGCACGUCUUGAGUACGGGAGAGGGUGGUGGAAUUCCUGGUGUAGCGGUGAAAUGCGUAGAUAUCAGGAAGAACACCGGUAGCGAAGGCGGCCACCUGGCCCGUUACUGACGCUCAGGGACGAAAGCGUGGGGAGCAAACAGGAUUAGAUACCCCUGUAGUC
This 459-nucleotide ribosomal RNA is filed under the name uncultured bacterium. Its description in RNAcentral is "partial 16S ribosomal RNA". It matches the Rfam family "Bacterial small subunit ribosomal RNA", at positions 338 to 795 of the family's 1533-position model. The record is from RNAcentral.